GACGGAGGGGGCUAGCGUUGUUCGGAAUUACUGGGCGUAAAGGGCGCGUAGGCUGCCAUGUGUGUCAGGUGUGAAAUCCCAGAGCUUAACUCUGGAACUGCUUCUGAAACUGCAUGGCUUGAGUGAGUGAGAGGCGGACGGAAUUCCGAGUGUAGCAGUGAAAUGCGUAGAUAUUCGGAGGAACAUCGGUGGCGAAGGCGGUUCGCUGGCACUCUACUGACGCUGAGGCGCGAAAGCGUGGGGAGCAAACAGG
RNAcentral lists this ribosomal RNA (253 nucleotides) under uncultured bacterium. RNAcentral describes it as "partial 16S ribosomal RNA". It matches the Rfam family "Bacterial small subunit ribosomal RNA", at positions 524 to 776 of the family's 1533-position model. The record is from RNAcentral.